CCUACGUGAGGCAGCAGUGAGGAAUAUUGGUCAAUGGGCGCGAGCCUGAACCAGCCAAGUAGCGUGAAGGAUGACUGCCCUACGGGUUGUAAACUUCUUUUAUAAAGGAAUAAAGUGAGGCACGUGUGCCUUUUUGUAUGUACUUUAUGAAUAAGGAUCGGCUAACUCCGUGCCAGCAGCCUCGGUAAUACGGAGGAUCCGAGCGUUAUCCGGAUUUAUUGGGUUUAAAGGGAGAGUAGAUGGGUUGUUAAGUCAGUUGUGAAAGUUUGCGGCUCAACCGUAAAAUUGCAAUUGAUACUGGCAGUCUUGAGUACAGUUGAGGUAGGCGGAAUUCGUGGUGUAGCGGUGAAAUGCUUAGAUAUCACGAAGAACUCCGAUUGCGAAGGCAGCUUACUAAACUGCCACUGACAUUGAUGCUCGAAAGUGUGGGUAUCAAACAGGAUUAGAUACCCCAGUAGUC
This 460-nucleotide ribosomal RNA is filed under the name uncultured bacterium. Its description in RNAcentral is "partial 16S ribosomal RNA". It matches the Rfam family "Bacterial small subunit ribosomal RNA", at positions 338 to 795 of the family's 1533-position model. The record is from RNAcentral.